CCUACGGGAGGCAGCAGUGAGGAAUAUUGGUCAAUGGACGGAAGUCUGAACCAGCCAUGCCGCGUGCAGGAAGACGGCUCUAUGAGUUGUAAACUGCUUUUGUAUAAGGGUAAACCUGACUACGUGUAUGCAGCUGUAAGUACUGUACGAAUAAGGAUCGGCUAACUCCGUGCCAGCAGCCGCGGUAAUACGGAGGAUCCAAGCGUUAUCCGGAUUUAUUGGGUUUAAAGGUCGAGUAGGUGGAUUGAUAAGUUAGGGGUGAAAGGUCCGAGCUAAACUGGGGAACUGCAUAUGAUACUGUGAGUCUAGAGUAUAGAAGCGGUAGGCGGAAUGCGUGGUGUAGCGGUGAAAUGCUUAGAGAUC
This 363-nucleotide ribosomal RNA is filed under the name uncultured bacterium. RNAcentral's name for it is "partial 16S ribosomal RNA". It matches the Rfam family "Bacterial small subunit ribosomal RNA", at positions 338 to 698 of the family's 1533-position model. The record is from RNAcentral.